This 1524-nucleotide ribosomal RNA is filed under the name metagenome. RNAcentral's name for it is "bacterial SSU rRNA". It matches the Rfam family "Bacterial small subunit ribosomal RNA". The record is from RNAcentral.
AGAGUUUGAUCCUGGCUCAGGACGAACGCUGGCGGCGUGCCUAAUACAUGCAAGUCUAACGAGAACGUCCCCUUCGGGGGGCUAUUAAAGUGGCGAACGGGUGAGUAACACGUAGGCAACCUGCCCUCGGGCGUGGAAUAACUCUGCUAACGCGGGGCUAAUACCACAUAAUGCAGUGAAUCCGCAUGGAUAUAUUGUUAAAGCGGGGGAUCCUUCGGGACCUCGUGCCUGAGGAUGGGCCUGCGGUCCAUUAGUUUGUUGGUGAGGUAACGGCUCACCAAGACAUCGAUGGAUAGCCGACCUGAGAGGGUGAUCGGCCACACUGGGACUGAGAUACGGCCCAGACUCCUACGGGAGGCAGCAGUAAGGGAUAUUGCGCAAUGGCCUAACGGCUGACGCAGCAACGCCGCGUGACUGAUGAAGCUCUAAGGAGUGUAAAGGUCUGUUAGGGGGAAAGAACAGCGCCGAGGUUAAUAAUUUCGGCGUCUGACGGUACCUCCAGAGAAAGCACCGGCUAACUCCGUGCCAGCAGCCGCGGUAAUACGGGGGGUGCAAGCGUUGUCCGGAAUCACUGGGCGUAAAGGGUGGGUAGGCGGAUCGGUAAGUCCGGCGUGCAAUGUGUCUGCUUAACAGGCAAACUGCGUCGGAUACUGCCAAUCUUGAGUCACGUAGAGGAAGGUGGAAUUCCUGGUGUAGCGGUGAAAUGUGUAGAUGUCAGGAAGAACACCGGUAGCGAAGGCGGCCUUCUGGACGUUGACUGACGCUGAGCCACGAAAGCGUGGGGAGCAAACAGGAUUAGAUACCCUGGUAGUCCACGCCGUAAACGAUGAACACUAGGUGUUGGGGGGCUUAUACCUUUCAGUGCCGAAGCUAACGCAUUAAGUGUUCCGCCUGGGGAGUACGAUCGCAAGGUUGAAACUCAAAGGAAUUGACGGGGGCCCGCACAAGCGGUGGAGCAUGUGGUUUAAUUCGAUGCAACGCGAAAAACCUUACCGGGGUUUGAAAAGCAGUGGCCAUCCCAGGAAACUGGGCUCCCUUUGGGGCCGCUGUACAGGUGCUGCAUGGCUGUCGUCAGCUCGUGUCGUGAGAUGUUGGGUUAAGUCCCGCAACGAGCGCAACCCUUGUCCUUAGUUGCCAUCAGUUCGGCUGGGAACUCUAAGGAGACUGCCGACCCUUAAGUCGGAGGAAGGUGGGGAUGACGUCAAGUCCUCAUGGCCCUUACAUCCCGGGCUACACACGUGCUACAAUGGCCGGUACAAUGGGUCGCAAUACCGUGAGGUGGAGCAAAUCCCAAAAAAACCGGUCUCAGUUCGGAUCGGAGUCUGCAACUCGACUCCGUGAAGUUGGAAUCGCUAGUAAUCGCGGAUCAGCAUGCCGCGGUGAAUACGUUCCCGGGCCUUGUACACACCGCCCGUCACGCCAUGGAAGUCGGGAGUGCCCGAAGUCGCUGUUUCAACCCUGAGCAAUCAGGGGGAGACUCGCCGAAGGUAAGCCUGAUGACUGGGGCGAAGUCGUAACAAGGUA